This 871-nucleotide ribosomal RNA is filed under the name uncultured bacterium. Its description in RNAcentral is "bacterial SSU rRNA". It matches the Rfam family "Bacterial small subunit ribosomal RNA", at positions 74 to 946 of the family's 1533-position model. The record is from RNAcentral.
GGUCCUUCGGGAUGCUGACGACCGGCAAACGGGUGAGUAACGCGUAUGCAAUCUACCUCUAACAGGGGCACAACUUCGGGAAACUGGAGCUAAUUCCCCAUAAAACUGUGAAAUCGCAUGGUUUUACAAUUAAAGUUCCAACGGUUAGAGAUGAGCGUGCGUUCGAUUAGAUAGUUGGCGGGGUAACGGCCCACCAAGUCGACGAUCGAUAGCUGAUGUGAGAGCAUGAUCAGCCACACGGGCACUGAGACACGGGCCCGACUCCUACGGGAGGCAGCAGUAGGGAAUAUUGGGCAAUGGAGGAAACUCUGACCCAGCCAUGCCGCGUGAAGGAUGAAGGUCCUACGGAUUGUAAACUUCUUUUAUUAGGGAAGAAACGUUUUGAUUCAUCAGAACUUGACGGUACCUAAGGAAUAAGCACCGGCUAACUCCGUGCCAGCAGCCGCGGUAAUACGGAGGGUGCAAGCGCUAUCCGGAUUCACUGGGUUUAAAGGGUGCGUAGGUGGAUUGAUAAGUCAGUGGUGAAAGCCCCGAGCUCAACUUGGGAAUUGCCAUUGAUACUGUUAGUCUUGAGUUCGGUUGAGGUAGGCGGAAUAAGUCAUGUAGCGGUGAAAUGCUUAGAUAUGACUUAGAACACCGAUUGCGAAGGCAGCUUACCAAGCCGACACUGACACUGAGGCACGAAAGCGUGGGGAUCAAACAGGAUUAGAUACCCUGGUAGUCCACGCCCUAAACGAUGAUCAUUCGACAUUAGCGAUAAACAGUUAGUGUCCAAGCGAAAGCGUUAAAUGAUCCACCUGGGGAGUACGCCCGCAAGGGUGAAACUCAAAGUAAUUGACGGGGGUCCGCACAAGCGGUGGAGCAUGUGGUU